Molecule: ribosomal RNA, 2784 nt
Filed under: Yersinia enterocolitica
Lineage: Bacteria; Pseudomonadati; Pseudomonadota; Gammaproteobacteria; Enterobacterales; Yersiniaceae
Description: partial 23S ribosomal RNA
Rfam family: Bacterial large subunit ribosomal RNA
Source: RNAcentral
GGUUAAGCGACUAAGCGUACACGGUGGAUGCCUAGGCAGUCAGAGGCGAUGAAGGGCGUGCUAAUCUGCGAAAAGCGUCGGUAAGGUGAUAUGAACCGUUAUAACCGACGAUACCCGAAUGGGGAAACCCAGUGCAAUUCGUUGCACUAUUGCAUGGUGAAUACAUAGCCAUGCAAGGCGAACCGGGGGAACUGAAACAUCUAAGUACCCCGAGGAAAAGAAAUCAACCGAGAUUCCCCCAGUAGCGGCGAGCGAACGGGGAGGAGCCCAGAACCUGAAUCAGCGUAUGUGUUAGUGGAAGCGUCUGGAAAGUCGCACGGUACAGGGUGAUAGUCCCGUACACAAAAAUGCAUAUGUUGUGAGUUCGAUGAGUAGGGCGGGACACGUGACAUCCUGUCUGAAUAUGGGGGGACCAUCCUCCAAGGCUAAAUACUCCUGACUGACCGAUAGUGAACCAGUACCGUGAGGGAAAGGCGAAAAGAACCCCGGCGAGGGGAGUGAAAUAGAACCUGAAACCGUGUACGUACAAGCAGUGGGAGCACCUUCGUGGUGUGACUGCGUACCUUUUGUAUAAUGGGUCAGCGACUUAUAUUUUGUAGCAAGGUUAACCGAAUAGGGGAGCCGUAGGGAAACCGAGUCUUAACUGGGCGAAUAGUUGCAAGGUAUAGACCCGAAACCCGGUGAUCUAGCCAUGGGCAGGUUGAAGGUUGGGUAACACUAACUGGAGGACCGAACCGACUAAUGUUGAAAAAUUAGCGGAUGACUUGUGGCUGGGGGUGAAAGGCCAAUCAAACCGGGAGAUAGCUGGUUCUCCCCGAAAGCUAUUUAGGUAGCGCCUCGUGAACUCAUCUUCGGGGGUAGAGCACUGUUUCGGCUAGGGGGUCAUCCCGACUUACCAAACCGAUGCAAACUCCGAAUACCGAAGAAUGUUAUCACGGGAGACACACGGCGGGUGCUAACGUCCGUCGUGAAGAGGGAAACAACCCAGACCGCCAGCUAAGGUCCCAAAGUCAUGGUUAAGUGGGAAACGAUGUGGGAAGGCAUAGACAGCCAGGAUGUUGGCUUAGAAGCAGCCAUCAUUUAAAGAAAGCGUAAUAGCUCACUGGUCGAGUCGGCCUGCGCGGAAGAUGUAACGGGGCUAAACCAUGCACCGAAGCUGCGGCAGCGACACUUAGGUGUUGUUGGGUAGGGGAGCGUUCUGUAAGCCGUUGAAGGUGACCUGUGAGGGUUGCUGGAGGUAUCAGAAGUGCGAAUGCUGACAUAAGUAACGAUAAUGCGGGUGAAAAACCCGCACGCCGGAAGACCAAGGGUUCCUGUCCAACGUUAAUCGGGGCAGGGUGAGUCGACCCCUAAGGCGAGGCUGAAAAGCGUAGUCGAUGGGAAACAGGUUAAUAUUCCUGUACUUGGUGUUACUGCGAAGGGGGGACGGAGAAGGCUAGGCUAGCCGGGCGACGGUUGUCCCGGUUUAAGCAUGUAGGCGGAGCGACUUGGUAAAUCCGGUUGCUUAUCAACGCUGAGGUGUGAUGACGAGCCACUACGGUGGUGAAGUAGUUGAUGCCAAGCUUCCAGGAAAAGCCUCUAAGCAUCAGGUAACAUUAAAUCGUACCCCAAACCGACACAGGUGGUCAGGUAGAGAAUACUCAGGCGCUUGAGAGAACUCGGGUGAAGGAACUAGGCAAAAUGGUGCCGUAACUUCGGGAGAAGGCACGCUGGCAUUAGGUAAAGAGACUUGCUCUCGGCGCCGAAGCCAGUCGCAGAUACCAGCUGGCUGCAACUGUUUAAUAAAAACACAGCACUGUGCAAACACGAAAGUGGACGUAUACGGUGUGACGCCUGCCCGGUGCUGGAAGGUUAAUUGAUGGGGUCAGCCGCAAGGCGAAGCUCUUGAUCGAAGCCCCAGUAAACGGCGGCCGUAACUAUAACGGUCCUAAGGUAGCGAAAUUCCUUGUCGGGUAAGUUCCGACCUGCACGAAUGGCGUAAUGAUGGCCAGGCUGUCUCCACCCGAGACUCAGUGAAAUUGAACUCGCUGUGAAGAUGCAGUGUACCCGCGGCAAGACGGAAAGACCCCGUGAACCUUUACUAUAGCUUGACACUGAACAUUGAGCCUUGAUGUGUAGGAUAGGUGGGAGGCAUUGAAGUGUGGACGCCAGUCUGCAUGGAGCCAACCUUGAAAUACCACCCUUUAAUGUUUGAUGUUCUAACUCGGCCCCGUGAUCCGGGGUGAGGACAGUGUCUGGUGGGUAGUUUGACUGGGGCGGUCUCCUCCCAAAGAGUAACGGAGGAGCACGAAGGUUAGCUAAUCACGGUCGGACAUCGUGAGGUUAGUGCAAAGGCAUAAGCUAGCUUGACUGCGAGAGUGACGGCUCGAGCAGGUACGAAAGUAGGUCUUAGUGAUCCGGUGGUUCUGAAUGGAAGGGCCAUCGCUCAACGGAUAAAAGGUACUCCGGGGAUAACAGGCUGAUACCGCCCAAGAGUUCAUAUCGACGGCGGUGUUUGGCACCUCGAUGUCGGCUCAUCACAUCCUGGGGCUGAAGUAGGUCCCAAGGGUAUGGCUGUUCGCCAUUUAAAGUGGUACGCGAGCUGGGUUUAGAACGUCGUGAGACAGUUCGGUCCCUAUCUGCCGUGGGCGUUGGAAGAUUGAGAGGGGCUGCUCCUAGUACGAGAGGACCGGAGUGGACGAAUCACUGGUGUUCGGGUUGUCAUGCCAAUGGCAUUGCCCGGUAGCUAAAUUCGGAAGAGAUAACCGCUGAAAGCAUCUAAGCGGGAAACUUGCCUCGAGAUGA